GGGAAGGUCAUGACAGUAGCCUGGGAAGGUCAUGACAGUAGCCUGGGAAGGUCAUGACAGUAGCCUGGGAAGGUCAUGACAGUAGCCUGGGAAGGUCAUGACAGUAGCCUGGGAAGGUCAUGACAGUAGCCUGGGAAGGUCAUGACAGUAGCCUGGGAAGGUCAUGACAGUAGCCUGGGAAGGUCAUGACAGUAGCCUGGGAAGGUCAUGACAGUAGCCUGGGAAGGUCAUGACAGUAGCCUGGGAAGGUCAUGACAGUAGCCUGGGAAGGUCAUGACAGUAGCCUGGGAAGGUCAUGACAGUAGCCUGGGAAGGUCAUGACAGUAGCCUGGGAAGGUCAUGACAGUAGCCUGGGAAGGUCAUGACAGUAGCCUGGGAAGGUCAU
Oncorhynchus keta (chum salmon) is the source of this 385-nucleotide long non-coding RNA. RefSeq lists it as uncharacterized. NCBI's taxonomy places the organism in Eukaryota, Metazoa, Chordata, Actinopteri, Salmoniformes, Salmonidae. The record is from RefSeq and is a predicted model, not a curated record. The transcript is spliced from 4 exons.